GCUUUCCCUAAACCCCCAACCCUGGUGAAGUGCUGAAAAGCGAGGUACCCAGCCAAUGCCAAAGACAGUGCUGCACCACCUUGAGUUCCCCUGUGCACAGGAAAUGGGAAUUGGAGCAUGAGCACAAGAACUUUUGAAAAAAGCUGCAGAUAUUAUUUCCAGAACAGGGAGAGUGUUCCACACCUCAGAUUCAUCAACUGGUAAGGAGCAACACUCACGAGCAGCAUAGUUGACAAUGGAAGCUCCAGCUCACCUAUGACAAAGCAUAAACAUCUGAAUUCAGGCUGAAUGAGGGCACUUCAACUGAAGUUGUUUUCAGCAGGAAAAUGUUAAUGAUGAAUAGCCUUACAAUAUUGAACUUUUUAUUGUUACUCUACCUGGAAUGGAGAAGAACAAACGCACCAAAAGAGCAAGAAAAGCAGUCCACUGA
Non-coding RNA from Oryza sativa Japonica Group (Japanese rice), 430 nucleotides. The record is from RefSeq and is a predicted model, not a curated record. Lineage: Eukaryota; Viridiplantae; Streptophyta; Magnoliopsida; Poales; Poaceae.